CACCAGACUCCUACGGGAGGCAGCAGUGAGGAAUAUUGGUCAAUGGGCUUACGCCUGAACCAGCCAAGUCGCGUGAGGGAAGACGGCCCUACGGGUUGUAAACCUCUUUUGUCGGGGAGCAAAGCGAACCACGUGUGGUUCAUUGAGAGUACCCGAAGAAAAAGCAUCGGCUAACUCCGUGCCAGCAGCCGCGGUAAUACGGAGGAUGCGAGCGUUAUCCGGAUUUAUUGGGUUUAAAGGGUGCGUAGGCGGAUUUGUAAGUCAGCGGUAAAAAUGCGGUGCUCAACGCCGUAUCGCCGUUGAAACUGCAGGUCUUGAGUGAGCGGGAAGUAUGCGGAAUGCGUGGUGUAGCGGUGAAAUGCAUAGAUAUCACGCAGAACUCCGAUUGCGAAGGCAGCAUACCGGCGCUCAACUGACGCUGAGGCACGAAAGCGUGGGGAUCGAACAGGAUUAGAUACCCGAGUA
This 465-nucleotide ribosomal RNA is filed under the name uncultured bacterium. Its description in RNAcentral is "bacterial SSU rRNA". It matches the Rfam family "Bacterial small subunit ribosomal RNA", at positions 329 to 792 of the family's 1533-position model. The record is from RNAcentral.